RNAcentral lists this transfer RNA (72 nucleotides) under Ictidomys tridecemlineatus (thirteen-lined ground squirrel). RNAcentral describes it as "Spermophilus tridecemlineatus (thirteen-lined ground squirrel) tRNA". It matches the Rfam family "tRNA". From Rfam's summary of the family: Transfer RNA (tRNA) molecules are approximately 80 nucleotides in length. Their secondary structure includes four short double-helical elements and three loops (D, anti-codon, and T loops). Lineage: Eukaryota; Metazoa; Chordata; Mammalia; Rodentia; Sciuridae. The record is from Rfam by way of RNAcentral.
AGGGUUGUGGCUCAGAGGUAGAGCACUUGCCUAGCAUGCAUGAGGCACUGGGUUUGAUCCUCAGCACCACAU